UGCCGGCAGCACAGAAUGAACAACAUGUGCACCAUGGGGUGCCCCAUGUUUCAUGAUAUAGCACAGGGGUGGCGAACUGAGAAAUAGAUGUAAA
Molecule: long non-coding RNA, 94 nt
Organism: Sinocyclocheilus rhinocerous
Lineage: Eukaryota; Metazoa; Chordata; Actinopteri; Cypriniformes; Cyprinidae
Exons: 3
Source: RefSeq, a predicted model, not a curated record